UCUAAAACUGCCUCCCUCUCUACUUAUACCCAUUUCCUACUCCUCCCAUCUCACUUACACACACUUUUGCUCACUCCCCUCUUCUUAAGUUUGCAUUCCCUCAAGAGCAUUUCACUUGCACCCACUCACUCCAAGUUCAAGAUGCCUGCUAAGAGAGCAAGAUAUCCCACAAGGGCCGCAGGGUCCUCCUCCACUUCCCAUAACUUUGACCGCUCCCGCUUCUUAUCGGCAAAGAAGGAGGAAUUCUAUCAAUCCGUCCUAGCACACAAGGGGUGUGUGAAGGAGCGAGGAGUAUUCUUAGGAAUGGAAGGAGAGACCCCCUCGAUAUGGUCGUGAAGAUAACGGCGACGACUCAUUCUUGGGAGCUGAUACUACGUGACGAGCCACUACCAGAUGAUGACUACACUUCUGAUGAAGAGGAAGAAGAUAAAGAGGAAGGGGCCAAGGAUAUGGUUGGGUUGAGAGACAUCCAUUUUUCCUUUUGGGUUGAGAGUACCGAAUUUUGGAAGUAUUGAACCAUUACUUUAUUUUAGUUGGGAUAGUUUAACUUGAUGUAAUUUACUUUGAAGUUUUCUUUCGGAUAUUUAUUUCAUACUCUUGUCAAUGAUUAAUAAAGUUUGAGGUGUACGUUGAUGAUUAUUUCCGCAAGUUUGAAAUGGUUAAGUUUAUAGAGUUUUCGUAAAAUGAACCUUUGUCAUUUAAUUCAAGAUUAAUAAUUGAAUCGACGAAAAUUCUUUACGAAAACUACGUUAUUUGGUUACUGUGUGACACUCAAGUAAUCGGGGCGUGAUGUCCUGGUUUAGAGGUGAUGUCAUUGACUAUGGAGCGGAGAGGAAGCCAUUUUCCCAUGGAGGAAUUCCAGGUCCUAUGACUUGCUUUCAGAUCGCUCUUCUGAGUUCUUGAGGGAUCUGGAAGUGGUGGUGGUUAGGCCCGGGAAACAUUGGGAGAAGCAUGACAGGGGGCACAUCACCUACUUACUAAGGCAAAACAUGACACCGCUGGCUCGUGUGUGGGCUGAAUUUCUGCAGGACUCAUUGUUUCCUAGCUCCCACAAAUCGGAAGUGAGAGCGGUGGUCCUAAUUGCAAUCUAUUGCAUCAUUAGGGGCCACCCAAUGGACGUGGCAAAAAUUAUUCUUGAGAAGAUUUACUCACACUACAAUGUGAGUAAGGAGAAGCCGCAUCCCAUCUUUCCUCACUUGAUUAGUGCUUUGAUCCAUGAUAUCAAGGAGAAGGCUAGGAGACCCACUUUUGCUGUGCAGCAGAGGUUGUUGGUUUCCCCCAUUCUGAGCAAGGAUCGGGUGAACCAACUCUUUCAAGAGUGGAUGUCUAGGAUGCCUCAAGAGGAUGAGGAAGAAGAGGAUCCUGUGGAGCCAGCGGAAGAAGAG
Molecule: long non-coding RNA, 1385 nt
Organism: Lotus japonicus
Lineage: Eukaryota; Viridiplantae; Streptophyta; Magnoliopsida; Fabales; Fabaceae
Exons: 3
Source: RefSeq, a predicted model, not a curated record